UACGUAGGGGGCGAGCGUUGUCCGAAUUCACUGGGCGUAAAGCGCGCGUAGGCGGGUUUUUAAGUUGGGGGUGAAAUGCCGGAGCUCAACUCCGGAACUGCCUCCAAAACUGGAAGCCUUGAGGUAUGGAGGGGGAAGUGGAAUUCCUGGUGUAGCGGUGAAAUGCGUAGAUAUCAGGAGGAACACCCGUGGCGAAGGCGGCUUCCUGGCCAUAUCCUGACGCUGAGGUGCGAAAGCUAGGGGAGCGAACGGG
This 253-nucleotide ribosomal RNA is filed under the name uncultured bacterium. RNAcentral's name for it is "partial 16S ribosomal RNA". It matches the Rfam family "Bacterial small subunit ribosomal RNA", at positions 524 to 776 of the family's 1533-position model. The record is from RNAcentral.